AAAUACCAUUCUAACUCUCUCAGUUUAAGAAUAUUGAACAGGGGCAGCUGUCAUACCCCAAAAUUUGCCCGUUAAUCUCGCAGGACAUUUUUCAAGGCACUCCAACUCAUUCUUCAAGGCAUUGAUCUUAAAGGAACAAAGACCCAGCACACAAGUGGCCAAAUCCAGAAAAUAACUCAAAAUGGCUUGCUCGCUAUGCGAGCAAAAUCCUUCGCUUAGCGAACCCUUCGCUGCACCACUCGCCUAGCGAAGCUUGCGAAUACCAGAAAUUUUGGGCUUCAUUCUGAGCCCAUUAGGUCACAAAAUUAUUAUAAAUAAUAGAGCUUCAUUCACAAACGGAGGACAGAAAUAGACGGACAGAAACCCUAGCAAGGAAAACACAGACAGCAAAACCCUGGAGGCUAACCAAGAGAAUUCAGAGCAAACCUAAAGGAAACCCCGAAGGAAACUCAUCUGCACAAAGGUUACCUCCGCCCAACUCAAUCCGGCACCAACCCUAAGAGUGAUUUGCCAAUUCAACGUUGCAAUUCAAUUGCAAACAGGUUUGCCUUACCACUACCGCUUUAUGCUCCCAAUUUACAUGUGACAUAAUGAUUGAAUUUAUAAAUAUAUCUUAGUUUUUGCAUGUGGAUUUAAGUAUGCAUGGAUGUCUUGAAUGUUUAACCAUAUAAUUUCUGCAUUGGAUGCCAUAGGGUUUGGAGCUCGCUGAAAUCGUACUGUUCUUAAACUCAAAACCCGCAGCCGUUCGCUAGCACAUCGCUAAGCGAACAUGUAGCGAGUGCUCGCUAAGCCUUCGCUAGGCGAGGCAGUAGCGAACAUGACAGUCGCUGAUUUUUUUUCCGUUCUGUUCUGUGCUUAUCUGACAUGUUCUAUCAUAGCUAUGUAUUAUUUGCCUGACAUUAUUACUGCUGCGAUUCCUUUGUUCGGUGCAACUAUUGAUUGCACCCCAUUUGGUAUUCUGACCUGUUUGCUGAAUUUUGUGAGGGCUCACAUACUCCCGAAGAAGGUAGCUUGCUAGGUAUUCCACUUUAUUUGUGGGAUACCCUUGUGGAGAUUCAUCCUAAUUACCUAAUUGAUUAUAAUGUGGAGAUUCAUCCUAAUUACCUAAUUGAUUAUAAAAUAUUGCCUUUGAAUAUGUGAUCUUGGACCUCUCUUUGUUGCCUUACGGUAUUACGGUAUUACGGUCAUGUCCCGCGAAUGUGGGGAUACACUUAGCAAAGACCCUUCGAUUAAAUCAUCAUGUCCCUAUAAGAUAAAUCAUAGUCCCUCGGAUGUUGCCUGCGAAUAUAUGAUUUUGUCCCUCGAUGACCCGUCGUUGUAGCCUACGGUUAAAUGAUGAUCGUCCCUUCGAAUGCUAAGGUAUCCUUACAAAUGUUGCCUUCAAUGACCAAUCGAUGACCCUACGAUGUCCCUUUACAUCCAAAGGAUAAGACUACUUACUUCUCAAUAGUAAGGACAGUUUUACCUUCAUAAGGAUAGGAAAUACCCAUAAAGACCUUGGGUAGGUAUAACUCUUAAAUGCUGACUCACAACUUAAAAUACUUUUCACACCUCACACUUUGCAAAACAUCUAUUAGAAAAUCACCACUUGGUAUACAUUCGUACUAGAAUCAUUGCCAAGUUAUAUUUUUCUAAACAGCUUUCAAAAUUAAACGAGAUAAAUACUUUGUAUACAUUCGUACAAGAAUCAUUACAAAGUUAAACUCUCUUUUCAAAACAUUUUCUAAACAGUUCUCAAACACUUUUUUCAGACAAGAAAAACAUAAGUGAUUCAGCAAUUAAGAGCCCAUGGAUAACCAUGGAUACAAAGGGUGCUAACACCUUCCCUUUGUAUAAUGUACCUCCCGAACCCAAAACUUAAUCAAGGUCUUUCUUGUUCUUUUCCGCCUUUCCUUAUUGGAUAAAAGAAAAGUCGGUGGCGACUCUUGCUAUCCGCGACAUUUGCUUUCCAAAGCAAAAACACACAAAGUCAGUUCACCGUAUGACAGAUACACUCAUAUGUGAUUGAAUUUCCAAGGAAAGUUAGAGCAAAAUUAUAUAAAGUGCAUGCAAUAAAUCAUAUUUAGGCAAGAUUUGAGAUAUCGAGUAUGCCCAAUUCCCUUCGAGUGUUGAAAAAUGGUUCAGUCGCAAGAGGUUUUGUAAAGAUAUUCGAAAGUUGAUUUUUGCUAUCAACAUGCUCAAAUACGACAUCUCCUUUUUCAACAUGGUCAAGUAGGAAGUGGUGACAUAUAUCAAUAUGUUUAGUGCGAGAGUGUAACACCAGAUUUUUUGUUAGAUUAAUAACACUAGUGUUGUUGCACAUAAUAGGAAUAUGUUGUAGUUUAACAUCAAAAUCAAGUAGUUGUUGUUUGAGCCACAAUAUUUGAGCACAACAACUACCGACUACGACGUAUUCCGCCUCGGCAGUUGACAAAACAAUAUAAACUUAUUUCUUGUUAUGCCAACUUACUAAGGAGUUUAAAAACAUGUGGCAAGUUCCACUAGUACUUUUCCUAUUUGAUUUGAAAUCGGUAAAAUCGGAAUUGGUAUAACUAACCAAAUCACAACCUCUUCCCUUGAAAUACCAAAGCAUAUACUUAGAAGUACCACAAAGGUAUCUAAGGAUGCACUUUGCGGCUUUUAAAUAUCAUUCCUUAGGAGUCGAUUGAUAACGAGUGCACAUACACACACUAAACAUAAUGUCCGGGAUAGAUGCAGUAAAAUAUAGGAGAGAUCCAAUCAUACCUUUAUACUUCUUGAAAUCAACAUCCUUACCAUUUUCAUCUUUUUCCAAGUUUCCAUUUGUGGGCAUUGGAGUGUUAAUUGAUUUUGCAUUUUCCAUACCAAAUUUCUUCAGCAAUUCGUUGCAAUAUCUUGUUCGACACACAAAUGACCCUUCAUUGAGUUUCUUGAUUUGAAGACCGAGAAAGUAGUUCAACUCCCCCAUGAGACUCAUGUCAAACUCACCCUGCAUUAUCUUAGAAAAUUCCUUGACUAAUUGCAUGUUAGUGGAACCAAAGAUGACAUCAUCAACAUAAACUUGAACUAGAAGAGUAUGUUUUCCUUGACAUUUAAUGAAAAGUGUAAUAUCUACAUUCCCUCUAGAGUAUCCUUGAUCGAUUAAGAACUUAUUAAGUCUCUCAUACCAAGCCUUAUGGGCUUGCUUGAGACCAUACAAAUCUUGUUUUAGUUUAUAAACAAGAUUAGGAUACUCAUGAUUUUUAAAACCGGGAGGUUGUGAAACAUGCACUUCCUCAUUAAUAUAUCCAUCAAGGAAAUUACUUUUCACGUCCUUUUGAAAUAACGUGAAAUCUUUGGAGCAAACAUAAGCUAGUAAAAGUAGGGGUGGCAAACGGGCAUGCCCGCCCCGCAAAAGCCCACAAAAAACGGGGCGGGGCGGGGCGGUCAUUGUUGAGGAUGCGGGCCUAAAACUUAGACCCGCCCCGCAAAAAAGUGAGGGCGGGGCGGGGAAAGCCUGCUGGCACUGCACUCUUUAAGCCUAAAAAUGCAAAAAUAUAUGUAAAUACACGUGCCAGCAAAAGCCCGUGAAAAAAAUGGGGCGGGGCGGGGCGGACACAUUUGAGGGUGAGUGCCUAAAUCCUUGGCCCGCCCCGCACAAAAGUGCGGGCAAAACGGGCAUUCCCCGCGGGCCGAGCCCGUUUUGCCACCCCUAAGUAAAAGGUGUAUAACCUCGAGGCGAGCAACCAGGCUUCUUCAUUGCAAUGAAUUGAAUGCAAAAAGAACCAACUCAAAAGUAGGCUUGAGGUGAAAAUGGCAAGUGUUGAAAGUUGAGGUCGUAACAUGCUUUCUAGGUCAGGCAUUUGGUCAAGCAGUCUUGGCACAUUUUGGGCAUCUUGAGGCCCAAAGUUCAUGAAACCAUAAAUGCUCCCUCAUGCAUUUUGAGACAAACUUGGGCCAAAUGAUCUUUCACAUAAGCUUAACAAGUUGCAAAAGGAAUGAGAUCAAAAUGAUACUUGAACUGAAAAUGGCAUGGCUUCCAAGUGGGGGUCAUGACAAGGUUUUGACCUAGUUUGACAACUUAUCCCUUUCCAUAAUUAAGGUCCUUAGAGGUUGAAUUGAUGCUUGAGACUUGAAGAAAAGUUGUAGAGGAACUACUUAGUAACAUUUGGCUCAAAGAAGCCUAUCAAUUGGUUGAAAAUUGAAGAAGUUAUGGGGUUUGGAGCAAAAGUGAGCCACACUUGAAAAUUAGGUCAACCAAACUUGUGCCAACUUGAAGUUUCUUUGCAUCCCAAACCAAAAUGAUGAUAGAAUGAGCAUCCCUUGAAUAAAACUUGAUUAAGGCUUGGAUGAUCUUGAGGAUGGCUUGGAGAAUGGAUGAAAUGGCAUGGAAUCAAACACAUGAACCACCCUUGAAUCAAUGAACCACAACUUGCAUCUUCCUUGACCAAAAUGACCAUUGUUUUGUAUUGAAUUGACGCAUGAUCACCUAUAUGAACAAGGGAACAAACAAGUACCAUUUCUUAUGAUGCUUUGGUUAGUUAAUAAGUGAAACAAAAUGAAAACCCCUAAUGUUAAGAUUAAAAUCAAGAUUGUGGCCAUGCUUGUGAAUCCAAUGACCAAAUGAAAUGGUCAUGCUAAUGACAUGAUGAUGCAUGAUAUGACUCCAUGUAUGCAAAUGGAACAAAUCAAAAGGUAAGAAAGGGAGAGUAAAUUUUCGGGUAUGACAAUUAUCCAACAAGCAUUAUUGAGCACUUAAAGAGUAUAGGUUAAUGAAGUUUCAUAUUUGAAAUAGAAUAAGACUUUAUUCUUUUGAUCAUUUUCGGAAUUAGUCUUAAUCCUUCCAAUUCUAUUUCAACCAUAUUUUAUUACUUGUGAUUGUAAAAAAUCCUAAGUAUUAAGGAGUGUUUGAUACUAGGUGUGGUUAAUAAGAAGGUGGUGUGUAUCUUCUUAUUGUUUUAUUUUAGAAGAUUGUAGGAGAAUUCUUGUGAUUAGGCUUGUACAAAGAUCUAAAAUAUAGUGGAAAAUCUCUCACUGGACAUGAAGGGGCUAGAUGUACCCUUGAUCAAUAAGGGAACUAGUAUAUAUCUUAGUGUUACUUAUUUUCAGGAAUUUAUCUUACUGCACUUUAUCAUUUCAAUUUUAUGAUAUAAGUCAAGAAAAAUAAGAACCUUGAAAAGAAUUGUGUAAAACCUAUAAAAUAGCAAAUACUCUAAUUCAACACCCCCCUUCUCUUAGAGUGUUCCUGACUACAACUGGAAUAUUAUAUAUAUAUUAUAAUAUAUCAUCUAUAUAUUAGUAUAUAUAUAUAUUAUCAUAUAUAUAAUAUCUAUAGAUAUAUAUAUAUAUAAAAGACCUUUAAAAUAUAUUAAAAUUUUAAAUUUGUUGGUGGCAAGAGUUGAACAAAAGACAAUUUACAUGUCAUUUUAAAAAUUUAUAAUUAAUCUGAACUUUUUUUGGAGUCUUUUUCGGCCCUAAAAUUUGAGGCCUAAAACUUUAGUUUGUGUCGCCUUACCUUGGCCCGACCCUGUCAACAAAUCAAAUAGAAAGACAUUACUAAUGUUAUUAAUCUUUAGUCAGAGGAAGAUAGUUAAUCUAUGAAGCAUGAGUGCUGAAAACACAACACUGGCCCUGAUAAGUCGACAUCAGAAAUAAUUUGAAAAAACUAUUCAAUUAAACGUAAUCACAAAUGUCGGUGUCGGUUUUGGACACACAUUUUUUCAGAUACGUAUGUGCUACAAAGUAGUUAAGCCUUUGAAAGAAAGAAAUACAUUAAUAAUUCAAAGAAAAUAAUAAACAUUAGUAAAUUUUGUGGUGACCUGGUGUUGGAAUUGUCCGGUCAAUACCAUGGGAAUUUACUUGCACAAGCCUAUUGUAGUAAUCUUGACUUCAUUUUAGCCUAAGACUUUAUUUUUUAUUACUACUUGUUGAAAUAAGAGAGCAUGAUAGACUUUUGAAUAAAACAAUGUGUCUCAAUAGUACUACAAAAGUUGUAUUAUAUAAUGUAAUCGUAAUAAUUAUAUAGGGAAUAUUCUACGGUAUAUCCUAUUCUAUUCUAUAAUGAGACUACAGAAUAUUUUAUGGAGUAUUCUAUAUAUACAAAUAUCCACACUCCUAUCUAGCUGAAUCAUAUAUGUCAUAUGAGUCUAACUUGUUACAAAUGUAAUCCACUUGAUAAUCCUUAAGAGACUUAGUGAACAAAUCAACCAAUUAGUCUUCAUAUUUGAUGAACUUUGUGGUGAUUUCUGAUGACAUUGAAAUUCACCAUAUUUUCGACUCCGAUUUCGCAUGCAUUUUAGUUGUUUUAUUAUUAUUUUGUUAUGUUAUUACUAUGUUUCUCUUUGUUUUCAGAUUUUCAGUCUAAUCGGAGCCCCGAUCGAGAAAAGGAGAGAAAACGAGCUAAAAACCCUAAAAUUCAGCAUUUUACAUUUGUGGCUCCCACUGUGGCUGGCGCCAUGGGUCCAUCCAUGACGUGUCCUAGCUCAACUUCCCUCAACUGCCACGUUCCCCACUACCUCCACUUGGGCGCCACACUUUGCUCUUGUGGCGGGCGCCAUGGGGUUGUGGCGGGCGCCACAAGAAGAAAAGUUUCCCUCCAAAAUCAAACUGAAGGGCAUCUUUGUCUUUCCAUUAUUUUACUUUCCUAUAAAUAGAGACUCGAAUUCAUUUGUUUAAUCAUCCAAACUUAGAGCAGAUCCAAACUUAGAGCAAACUUAGUUUCACUUAGGCAUAUAUUCAGUAUUUUAAAAGUGGUAAUCGCUUCACAUUGGGGUGUUGCCACAAUUGUGUAAUCAAGUCUGUGAUAGAGUCUGUAAUCGAGUUUGGAGCACUUUGGAAGGAAGUUAAUUCUGCCGCCAUUUUCAUUUCUGUUUCGCAUUUUAUUCAACCCUCCAAUUGGAGCAGGUUUUUAUUGCUUUACCUUUAGUCUAUUUACUUUCCCGCACUGUCUUUACUUUAUUUAUUUCUCGCACUCGCACUACUUUCAUUUAUUUCUCGCACUCGCACUACUUUCAUUUAUUUCUCGCACUCACACUAAUUUCAUUUAUUUUCCCGCACUGUCUUUACUUUCAUUUAUUUCUCGCACUCGCACUACUUUUAUUUACUUUCCGCACUCGCACUACUUUUAUUUAAAUUCUGCACUCGCAUUACUUUUAUUUAAAUUCCGCACUCGCACUACUUUUAUUUAUUUGCCGCACUCGCACUACUUUUAUUUAUUUUCCGCACUCGCACUACUUUUAUUUAAAUUAAAAUGCACCUUUACUUUACCAUGUCUAACUAAAUCUAUAAAGGUUAGAAUGUAAGGACCGUAAUUGAACCGAUAAUCCGUACAAUUGUUCGUAGAAACACUUAAGAGCUAUUUUAACUUUCAACUUAAGUUUUCCCGCACUUAAUUUCCGUUGGCUAAGAUCAAAAGUCGUCCAACGUCUUUUUAAACUUAGUUGUUUUUAACUAUUUCAAAUACAGCGAAAGCGCUUUGUUUAGUUCAUUAGGAGUUUUUAACUUAAGAAGAAAAGUGAUUUUAAAACUAUUUUCGAACGCGUUUAUAAGUUUAGAGUCUGGUUCGUGAGAACCUCUUUUGGUUAAGGAAUCCAGGUUAAAAUACUUUUCAACUUAGUCAAGAUACUAUAUUUCUUAAAAAUAGGUUUACUACUCUAAUGCAAUGCACGCCUUUUUAUAAGUGACAAUAAGAGGGUUUGAUUAGGGAGUACAACUCGGUUCUGAAUACGCGAAAGUGACAGUUCCUGUUAAAUUGGUUCUUUUCAAAGCAGGAAACACUGCCCAUAAGUAAUCCUAUUAGCUAGUACUUGGAUUAUUAAUUGAUUAUGUGAAUUACAUUCGAACCUGUCUUUAUUAAUUGAAUUUUAUUUAACACUUUACUUUUCAUUGCACACUCUUAAAACCCCUAUUUCGUUUACCUUAGAUAAACACCAUAACAAUAGAUAACGAUAGAUUGACACUUGGUCUUUGUGGAUUCGACAAUCUUUUAUAUUACUCUGACGCGUUCGUAUACUUGCGAAAAGCACGCAUCAAGUUUUUGGACUUAGAUAAACACCAUAACAAUAGAUAACGAUAGAUUGACACUUGGUCUUUGUGGAUUCGACAAUCUUUUAUAUUACUCUGACGCGUUCGUAUACUUGCGAAAAGCACGCAUCAAGUUUUUGGCGCCGUUGUCGGGGAUCAAUUUCGUCAAAUUUCGUACCCUGUUGUUAUAUCGUUUAGACUUAGGUUAUUACCCACCGGUCAAUGCGAAGAACUCACAGCACCGGAAGCUUAGUAUACCCUCUGGCGGAACCUGAACGUUACGCUCACGCACGUUUAUUCUUCCAUAGAAUUAGGAGAGCUAUGGCCGAAGAUCAAAACCAAAGACCUCUUAAGGAUUUCUCCCAACCAUCCAACGAAGAACCUAGUUCUAGUAUAGUAAACCCAACCGUCCCAGCUAAUAAUUUCGAACUUAAACCUUCCCUAUUGCAACAAGUGCAACAAAGACAAUUCACAGGUCUUGCUACUGAGAACCCAAACCAACACUUAACAAUCUUUCUCCAAUUAGCAGACACUUUCAAAACCAAUGGAGCUUCUCCUGAGGUAAUCCAUUUAAGAUUGUUCCCUUUUUCCCUCAGAGAUAAAGCCCUAUCAUGGUUAGAUUCCCUUCCACCCAAUUCCAUUACAACUUGGGAAAACCUUAGAAGAGUAUUCCUUGCUAGAUACUUUCCCCCAAGUAAGACCGUCGUUCUUCGAAACCAUAUAACUAGAUUUACCCAUAACCAGGGAGAAUCGAUGUUCGAAGCUUGGGAGAGAUAUAAAGAGCUGUUAAGAGCAUGCCCAUAUCAUGGUUUAGAAAAUUUGGUUAAUCAUUCAGACCUUCUAUAAUGGACUUCACUAUAACACUAAGAUGACCAUCGACGCUACCGCAGGCGGUGCACUGAUGAACAAACCUUAUCCUGAAGCUAGUGCCCUCAUCGAAGAUAUGGCUCAAAACCAUCAAUCAUGGGGAGUCGAACGAGCGACAGUUGAGAAGAAGGAAGCCCAAGGAGGAGUACAUGAAUUAAGCUCUAUAGACAUGAUGCAAGCUAAAAUGGACGCAUUAGCCCUUAAGGUCGAACAUAUGUGCGUAAACCCGAAUACUACAGCUGCAGUUUCGUCGGAUUAUGAGAUAUGUGGAACCAAAGGACACCAAUCUGCAGAAUGCAGUCUAUUAAACGAAACCCACUCUGAGCAAGUGAACUACACCCAAGGGAACCCAUAUUCGAAUACCUAUAACGCCUGGAUGGAGGAAUCGACCGAACUUCUCCUAUGAAACAAUAACCCUAUCCAAAAUAAUGCACCUCCGAGACCAGGUUACCAACCCCAAGAUCAAAUCAACCUAUGCAACCUGUACCACAAAGCCAAGCCUUGAGAAUUAUGAAAAUUUAUCCUGCUCAAACCAACAAACAAAGAGUUCAGUGAACCAAAAAUUCAGUAACGAACUGAUUACCCAUAGGACCAAGGUUGACCAAAUAGUUACUCACACCAAGAUGCUUGAAACCCAGAUCUCUCAGGUAGCUUUAAACCAAGCCCCCCAGACUACACCUGGAGGACAGUUCCCUGGACAACCUCAACAGAAUCCAAGAGGGUAAGCCAAUGUCAUUACCCUACGAAGUGGGAAUGCUUAUAAUGAUCCACCAAACCCAAAAUUGAGCGAACCCAAAACUUCUAAGCAAUAUACCGAACCCACGGACGAAGUGAAGGAACCAGAGGAAUUUGAAAACCAGGAAGGUCGAGAAAAAGGAGAAGAACCUAAAGACAAAACUUAUGUACCACCCCCGCCAUAUAAACCACCUAUACCAUAUCCGCAAAGACUCAAACAAAUCCAGAUUAAUAACCAGUAUCAGAAAUUUAUUAAGGUUAUAGAAAAACUUCACGUAGAAAUCCCUUUCACAGAAGCCAUCACCCAAAUACCUUCUUAUGCAAAGUUUCUCAAAGACAUCCUUACCAACAAACGUAAUUAUUAAGGUUAUAGAAAAACUUCACGUAGAAAUCCCUUUCACAGAAGCCAUCACCCAAAUACCUUCUUAUGCAAAGUUUCUCAAAGACAUCCUUACCAACAAACGUAGACUCGACGAUCCGAAACCUCUGGAAUGCAAUUCUAUUUCCGAGAAUAAGUUAGCCAAAAAAGAUAAAGAUCCUGGAAAUUUCUCCAUUCCUUAUCUUUUGGGAAGUCAUGUCAUCGAAAAAGGUUUUAUAGACUUAGGAGCUAGUGUGAGCUUAAUGCCUUUAGCGGUUUGUGAGAGGUUAAACUUAGGAGAAUUACAGCCUACUAAGAUGUCACUUCAGUUAGCCGAUAGAUCUGUUAAAUAUCCGAUAGGCAUUUUAGAAGAUGUCCCUGUUAGGAUAGGUCGGUUAUUUAUCCCUACUGAUUUUGUUGUCAUGGACAUCAAAGAGGAUAAUGAUAUACCAAUCCUUCUAGGUAGACCAUUCUUAUCAACUGCAGGAGGCAUAAUAGAUGUCAAGAGAGGAAAGUUGACCUUUGAGGUAGGUGACGAGAAGAUAGAAUUUAUACUUUCGAAAUUUCUUAUGGCACCUGUGAUGGGAGACGCAUGUUAUGCCUUAGAUAUCAUUGAUGAAUGCGUUAGGGAAUUAGAAUAAGAAGAAAUCAUAAAAACAAUUAAGUUGCCAUCAACUCUCAUACUGGAAGAUGAUGACUUUAGGAAACCCUACAUCGAUGAUAACCUUUACGAAUGUUUAUCCCUUACCCCAGAUUCUAUGCCAUGCCCUAAGACACCAACCUUAGAACUUAAGGAGCUGCCUAAGAACCUAAGAUAUGAGUUCCUCGACGAAGAGAUGAACUGUCCAGUUAUAGUCAGUGCUACCUUGAGCCAAGAGGAAACAAACCAACUUUUAGAUGUUUUACGAAGAUAUCCCUCAGCCUUAGGAUAUAAUAUCUCUUACCUGAAAGGUAUAAGCCCAUCCGUAUGCAUGCAUCGGAUUUCGCUCAAAGAAGAUUCAAAACCCUCCAGAGAACAUCAGAGAAGAAUAAACCCUAUAAUAAGUGAUGUUGUUAAAAAGGAAGUUCUUAAGUUACUUGAGGCGGGUAUAAUCUAUCAAAUCUCGGAUAGUAAGUGGGUGAGCCCUGUGCAUGUAGUACCUAAAAAGGGAGGCAUCACAGUCGUGCAAAACGAUAAAGGCGAACAUGUAGCAAAACGGAUAGAAGGAGGAUGGUGGAUGUGUAUAGAUUAUAGAAAGUUAAAUAAAGCAACCAGGAAGGAUAAUUUCCCUUUACCAUUUAUAGACCAGAUGUUGGAGCGUCUAGCCAGACACUCUUACUUCUACUAUCUAGAUGGAUACUCAGGAUUCUUCCAAAUACCUAUCCACCCCGAAGAUCAAGAAAAAACUACCUUUACAUGCCCUUAUGGAACUUUUGCCUACAGACAAAUGCCAUUCGGCCUCUGUAACGCCCCAGCCACUUUCCAACGCUGCAUGAUGUCAAUCUUUGCAGAUUACCUAGAUGGUAUCAUGGAAGUAUUUAUGGAUGAUUUCUUGGUUUGUGGAUUUGAUUUCCACAAUUGUCUUGCUAACUUUGAGAAAAUCCUGGAAAGAUGCGUGGAGGUGAACCUUGUGCUAAAUUGGGAAAAGUGUCAUUUCAUGGUGACCGAAGGAAUUAUUUUAGGACAUAUAGUUUCCGAAAAAGGUAUAGAGGUAGAUAGAGCUAAGAUAGAAGUUAUAGAGAACCUAAAACCACCCAAAACUAUCGGAGAAUUCCGAAGUUUUCUUGGACACGCUGGAUUCUACCGGCGUUUUAUUAAGGACUUCUCCAAAAUAACUAAACCUUUAAUUGUCCUUUUAAUGAAAGAUGCUGAAUUCAUUUUCAAUGAAAAAUGUAAUGAAGCAUUUAAUCUUUUAAAGCAAACAUUAAUAUCAGCACCCAUUAUGAAACCCCCUGAUUGGUCAGAACCUUUUGAGAUAAUGUGCGACGCUAGUGACUAUGCCGUUGGAGCCGUUCUAGGAAAAAGGAAAGAUAAAAAAUUACAUGCAAUUUAUUAUGCCAGUAGAACCCUAGACGCUGCCCAACUUAACUAUGCAACAACUGAAAAGGAAUUACUCGCUGUAGUUUUCGCUAUAGACAAAUUUAGAUCUUAUCUAGUAGGAGCCAAAAUUAUAGUUUACACCGAUCAUGCUGCCAUUCGUUACCUAUUAAGUAAAAAAAGGAUGCCAAGCCCAGGUUACUCGAUGGAUUCUGUUACUACAAGAGUUUGAUUUAGACAUAAGAGAUAAAAAAGCACUGAAAAUGUAGUAGUUGAUCACCUUUUCUAGGCUAGAACACUAAAACCAGACUUAGUACCAUAAAUGAUGAUUUUGCCUAUGAUGACUGUAGCUAGACUAGAAACAUUGAAGACGAUAUCCUAGGCCCUCAUGAGCACUUCCAAAAUCCUUAGAGUAAGUAACGUACCAUGGUAUGCAGACUUUGUUAAUUACCUAGCUGCACCCCCUGAUCUUGACUACCACCGCAAGAAGAAGUUCUUCAACGAUGUGAGAAACUUUUAUUGGGACGAACCGCUCCUUUUCAAAAGGGGUAAAGAUGGCAUUUUUCGCCGUUGCGUUCCAGAGGAGGAGGUAAAAAGUAUAAUUGAGCAUUGUCACUCUGCACCCUAUGGUGGACAUGCGAGCACCUCUAAGACAUACACCAAGAUUCUUCAAGCUGGCCUAUUUUGGCUUGCCAUGUGGCGUGAUGUCCAUGCUUGCAUUGUCAAAUGUGAUAGAUGCCAAUGCACUGGAAAUAUUUCAAGGCGUGACGAGAUGCCUCAAAGAAACAUUCAAGAAGUAGAACUCUUCGACGUGUGGGGUAUAGAUUUCAUGGGACCUUUCCCACCAUCCUUAGGAAACAAGUAUAUCUUAGUGGCUGUGGACUACGUGUCUAAGUGGAUUGAAGCCAUAGCUGCACCCACAAACGAUACUAGGGUAGUGAUCAAAUUAUUUAAGAAUUAUAUAUUCCCUAGAUUUGGAACACCCUGUUUAGUCAUAAGCGAUGGAGGAUCACACUUCAUAUCGAGAAUAUUUGAUAAACUUUUAAGAAAAUAUGGAGUUAGGCAUAGAGUAGCAACACCAUACCUAGAAGUAUUCCAAUAGGGAGAAUAAAACAAUCAAGAAAAAACUGUUUUAAUAUAGAAGAGACUGGUCUAGAAGCUUCAAGAAGCAAUUAUGGCUUUCAAAACCCCUAUAGGAACUACUCCCUACCAACUAGUUUAUGGAAAAUCCUGUCACUUACCUUUCGAAUUAGAGCAUAAGGCCUAUUGGGCCAUUAAAACUUUGAAUUUAGAUUACCUGACCGCUGGUGAAAAGCGUAUCCUUGACAUUCACAAACUAGAAGAACUCAGGCAAUCUACCUACGAGAAUGCCAAAAUAUACAAAGAGAGAACAAAAGCCUGGAACGACAAAAGAAUAGUUAAGAAAGAUUUCAAUAUAGGCGACCCUGUUCUCUUGUUCAACUCUAGGUUACGACUUAUCCAUGGGAAGCUGCACUCAAGAUGGACUGGCCCUUUCAAAGUAUCCAAAAUUAUGAGAUCCGGAGCCGUAGAAAUCAAGAAGGAAACAUGUAGUCCAGUCAUUGUAAAUGGACAAAGACUGAAGCUCUACGAAGGAGGAGACAUUCCAACAGACUACUCAAGCCACACUCUGAUCGAUCCACCGAUCCCUACUACAGGUGUAUAAAUUCCGAUCGUCAAGCUAAUGACGUUAAACAAGCGAUGCUUGGGAGGCAACCCAUGGUUUUCUUACCUUGUUUUACUUUUUUGCAUUUACAUUAUUUUAUUUUUAAUUUUUAAUUUUUAUCAUAUUUUCACCGAGACUAAAUAUUUGAAAUGUUUGUAUUUUCAGGAUCCCUUUUCCUAACUUUUACAGGAUGCAGGACUUCGACGAUAUGCACGUAGCCUAUAGAGAUGAUGCCCAGAGAGAGCUCUACAUAGCUCUUUACCAGCGCCCUAUGGCGCCUACACGCUACCCAGACCAGCACUGCAUGGAAGCCUUGGGCAUUGAGCCAAGCAUCCGAUUUCUGAGCCACCAACUCCAUUGGGACGAGUUCGCUGACGACCUAAGCAACACCUACAGGAACCUGACAUUGGAGUUCCUCAGUCCAGAUCGACCGAAGGAGUCAUUCAUGUAGGAGGGAUCAUCACACAGAUCGUCAUCGCCUUAGGUCUAUCCCGCAAGCUGUUAUAUCUCAGGACCUACUGUGGGUACACUACCAUGGAUAUCGACUUUUGCUUGACCAGAGGGUUGAUGACGAGAUCCUCCUUCAACCCAAGACAGUUCAGAUUGCUGGUCGAUAGUGAGGCGAUUCAUUAUUUUACACUGCCUGAUCCUAUGAUGACUAGUGUUCAUGACCCAGCAAACUGGAUUUACGCUCUGGAGGGCCAAGGAAAGACUAUCGAGGAGCCGAGAUCCCCACCUAUUACUGAGUAUACCCCUACACCGCCUUCGCCCAGGAUCACUGUAUUCUCUAACAAUUUAUCAUUGCAGACCCCAGACAUCCGCACGCAGAUUGCAGAGUGUCGUCGAGAGAUUGUCGGGCUUAGACAGGAGGUGGCUGACCUCACCUUAGAGAUGGGAGUAUCCGAUCUCACACACACUACCGAGGCUGACUGUUUAUACCAGGAGAUCACCGAGCUUCGCUAGGAGAUAGCCAUGCUUCGUGGAUCUACUCAGGCAGACGAACCCCCUACUAUUUGAUUUUACCAUCUCAUUUUAUUUUGUCUCAUUUAUGCUUAUAUUUUCCGUAUUUACCUAACUCAUUUUAUAUCAUUGCAUUUGGGAUAUUUUCUUAACUAUACUAGCACAUUAAUAUUAUUUCCAUUUUAUGUGUGUUUAUUAUAUUUAUAUUUUUAUCAUAGUCUAGUUAAUUAUAUUAUUUAUUUAUUUAUUAGUCUAAUGUUUUAAAUUUUAUUUCUAUAAAAUUAUGCAAGCCUUAUGUCAAUAGGAAAAUACAAUGCAAACCCUAUCCGGACCCCCUAACCGAAAAGAGAACGAGAAGCCCAAGCCAAAUGACCAAAAUCCGGCCCAAUCGAAUUUAUCCUUAUGGUGCCCGCCAUAGAUGUUAUGGCGCCCGCCCAGCGUCUGUUACUCGGGGCAGAUCACAUUCUUCACCAUUUUUCAACUUCAACCUCAAACCCAUUUUUUCACCUUCCGAAAAAGCCCUUGAACCCCACAAAAGCUCCCACCUUUCUCAUCUUCACACCAUACAAAUCAUUUUCCCAACUUCCAUUUUCAUUUUCAUCCAUCAAAUCUCAUAAAAAUCACACCUUUUUACAUACCCAUGUUCAUCUUCUUCAUCGCAUUGCAAGAGCUAAAUAAUGGAGUUCAAUGGAUUUAUCCUUCGUGAAGGGAAACCGGGAGAUAGACAGAGGAAGAUUAUCGAACGAUUGCAAAAUCGGGAAAUCCUCCCGACAAGGUAUGUUGAUGAAAAUUGUCUUUACACUUUGGGUAUCUAUCAUAGCAUUUUUUAUUUAUUAGAUAAUUUAGGCUUGCAUACUAUCUUUUCAAAUAAAGAACCUACCUUUGAGCGAUUGACAAUCGAAUUUUUAAGUUCUUUAAUUUAUAUUGUCAAUCCUAACACUGCUAGCACAGUUGGUAUUGUCAGAUUUAGAAUGUUUUCUGUUGAAUAUGAAUUCAGUACCGACGAACUAGCAGGCCUGUUAGGUAUUCCUCAUGGGGACGGUGCUAUUUGUGAGGCCCCUUUGGAUUCAGAUUGGUCGGUCGAGGUAUUUUCCUUAUGGAAGAGAUUGUCAAACACUUCAAUAAAUUCUUUUGAAGGAAUUCUUGCCUCGACCAUCCAUAACCCGACCAUCAGAGUUUUUAGAUAUCUGUUGGCAUGUACUAUUUUUGGCCGGGAGAAUCCAAUAGGGUCAAUGCCGAGGCUUCUAUUUUUUGCAAGAAGCCUCACCAUGAAGAUUAAUUCGGUCCCGUUUAUGCUUGCUCAUAUGGCUUUAACUCUUAAUAAAGCGGGACCGAUUGUUUUCGGAGGACUCAUUACGUCUAUUGCUCGGGCGCUUAACCUGAACAAUGAGAUAGCUACCCUAGAUCCCUUAGCUCCUUGCACAAUCAACCUAAAAUUUCUGAGAGACAUGAAAUUGUGCCGAUUGAGGAGAGAAGGAGGCUAUGUGCUUAUGGUUCAUGGUGUAGCUAUCCCAUCUGUUGUCUUACCGUGCACUAGACGUACUGAUGUACAUGAUGAAAGGAAUUGGACCUAUGUUUUAGAUGCUCCACCUGUUUUGGGUCCUCUUCCUCCUAAUGUUUCUGAUGAGGAGGGACACGACACUGAUGAAGAAUAUGAUCAGAGAGAGCAAUCUCCCAUACCUCAUGUGUCCCCCAUCACCCUUCACCACCAUACACCACACCAUCUUCUUCUUUUGCAGGUUCUGCUCCUGGCUUCUAUAUUACAGAGGAGAUGUGGCGUGACCACAUGGCUAGAGAGAAAAGGCGUGAUGACCUACUCUCUACCAUUCAGCAACAACUGGCGGACAACAUGAGCUUCAUGCAAGAAUCGUAGCGGAGGACAGAUAGAUCCUAUGAGGCUGUUGUACAGUCCCUGCUUACGAUCACAAACCAGCAAGCCCGUCAACAGCAAUACCACCGUCAACAUUCUGCACUGAUCGAGGCCACUCAGGGUUCCAUUUUAAGCAACCUUUGAGAGGCGAGGACUGCUCAGGAUGCCUUACAGGCCAGGAUGGAUCAGAGAGACCGUCGUCCACCUCAGGAUGGCGAAGGUACCAGUGGUCAGCAGUAGGAUGUCAGGUGUCUCUCCCCUUAUCUUAUUUCGAAACAUUGGGGACAAUGUUCGAUUUAAGUGCGGGAGGAGACUUUAUCGCUUUCUAUUUUUCUUUGCUGUUUUUAGUUAGUUUGUUCAUUUUUAUUGCUUUUUAGUUGUUUACUUCGUUUCAUUUUGCUUUUAGUUUGAGUGUUUUAGAUAAUGCAUGAGUCUGACGAGUCACCAGUAUAGUGUAUCUUUAGUACAGUCUAAUCUUCCCAUUCCUUUAGCCCUACCAAAAUUUUUUGCAAAAGAAAACGGUGUUAUCCUGAAAGUUUUUGGGUUUUUAAGACGGGUUUGAGUAAGGAUGCGGUGACUUGGGAGAACUUUUUGAAACAUCAGUAUUGUUUUAGCACCAUAGACUUCAUGAAUAUAGGAAUCACUCCCGAAACCCCAUAUACCAUGGCCUUAAUCAUCAUUUCAAUAUAAGUCCUCAGUAGUUUAUUCCAGCAGUCAGCUCCGGCCUACGCAUCCUCUACGUAGGGACCGAUGACAUAAGUGAAUGAUCCAGUGAAAUAAAUAAAAAUAAAAGAAAGCAAAAAGGAAACUCCGGUAUAGUUGACCCUCACAAAGUCAUUUAAACCAAAAAGGUUGUAAAAAUUUGCUACAAAAGAAAAGAAAAAGAAAGAAAAAAGCUCACCCACUGUUGUGUUGUUCAGAGGUAUCUGGCGCUGAACUCGGUAGGGAUGGAUACGAUCCGAUCCCCCACAACUGCAGUUGGGUCAAAUAAAGGGUUUACGACGAUAUUUAUGUGCCAGGAACCCCAUGUUUAGAUCAUAAUCACUAACAGGUCACUCUGCUAUGAAGCAUGUACGGAUAACGGGCUUAAUGUGAUUGCGCCUGAAUGAAAAGGACACAAAAAGAGAUGAAGAGGCAAACCUAGGUAUUAUAGGAUAAUAUGGGUUGGUUAAUAUCGGAAUAGAGUCUAUGUCCGUAUUUUUCGGAUAAGUGUCAUUAUGAUACCCUUAGUUCACUCAGUUAGUACCUAUCACUUCAUCCCGACUUGAACUUAGAAAUCUUUUAGCCUGAAUCACUCGUUGACACCAGUUUUUCUUCUAUGAGCUUUUUAAUGUUUUGCUUGAGGACAAGCAAGGGUUUAAGUGUGGGAGAAUUUGAUGACAUUGAAAUUCACCGUAUUUUCGACUCCGAUUUCGCAUGCAUUUUAGUUGUUUUAUUAUUAUUUUGUUAUGUUAUUACUAUGUUUCUCUUUGUUUUCAGGUUUUCAGUCUAAUCGGAGCCCCGAUCGAGAAAGGAGUGAAAACGAGCUAAAACCCUAAAAUUCAGCAUUUUCACUUGUGGCUCCCACUGUGGUGGCGCCAUGGGUCCAGCUAUGACGUGCCCUAGCUCAACUUCCCUCAACUGCCACGUUCCCACUACCUCCACUUGGGCGCCACACUUUGCUCUUGUGGCGGGCCGCCAAAGAAGAAAAGUUUUCCCUCCCAAAUUCAAACUGAAGGGCAUCCUUGUAUUUUCCAUUAUUUUACUUGCCUAUAAAUAGAGACUCGAAUUCAUUUGUUUAAUCAUCCAAACAUAGAGCAAAUCCAAACUUAGAGCAAACUUAGUUUCACUUAGGCAUAUAUUCAGUAUUUUAAAAGUGGUAAUUGCUUCACAUUGGGGUGUUGCCACAAUUGUGUAAUCAAGUUUGUGAUAGAGUCUGUAAUCGAGUUUGGAGCACUUUGGAAGGAAGUUAAUCCUGCCGCCAUUUUCAUUUCUGUUUCUCAUUUUAUUCAACCCUCCGAUUGGAGCAGGUUUUUAUUGCUUUACCUUAAUCUAUUUACUUUCCCGCACUGUCUUUACUUUAUUUAUUUCUCGCACUCGCACUACUUUCAUUUAUUUCUCGCACUCGCACUACUUUCAUUUAUUUCUCGCACUUGCACUACUUUCAUUUAUUUUCCCGCACUGUCUUUACUUUCAUUUAUUUCUCGCACUCGCACUACUUUUAUUUACUUUCUGCACUCACACUACUUUUAUUUAAAUUCCACACUCGCACUACUUUUAUUUAAAUUCCACACUUGCACUACUUUUAUUUAUUUGCCGCACUCGCACUACUUUUAUUUAUUUUCCGCACUCGCACUACUUUAUUUUAAAUUAAAAUGUACCUUUACUUUACCAUGUCUAACUAAAUCUAUAAAGGUUAGAAUGUAAGGACCGUAAUUGAACCGAUAAUCCGUACAAUUGCUCGUAGAAACACUUAAGGGCUAUUUUAACUUUCAACUUAAGUUUUCCUGCACUUAAUUUCGUUGGGUAAGAUCGAAAGCCGUCCAACGUCUUUUUAAAUUUAGUUGUUUUUAACUAUUUUAAAUACAGUGAAAGCGCUUUGUUUAGUUCAUUAGGAGUUUUUAACUUAAGAAGAAAAGUGAUUUUAAAACUAUUUUCGGACGCGUUUAUAAGUUUAGAGUCUGGUUUGUGAGAACCUCUUUUGGUUAAGGAAUCAAGGUUAAAAUACUUUUCAACUUAGUCAAGAUACUAUAUUUCUUAAAAAUAGGUUUACUACUCUAACACAAUGCGCGCCUUUUUAUAAGUGACAAUAAGAGGGUUUGAUUAGGGAGUACAACUCGGUUAAACUUAGUCAAGAUACUAUAUUUCUUAAAAAUAGGUUUACUACUCUAACACAAUGCGCGCCUUUUUAUAAGUGACAAUAAGAGGGUUUGAUUAGGGAGUACAACUCGGUUCUGAAUACGCGAAAGCGUCAGUUCCUGUUAAAUUGGUUCUUUUCAAAGCAGGAAACACUGCCCAUAAGUAAUCCUAUUAGCUAGUACUUGGAUUAUUAAUUGAUUAUGUGAAUUAAAUUCGAACCUGUCUUUAUUAAUUGAAUUUUAUUUAACACUUCACUUUUCAUUGCACACUCUUAAAACCCCUAUUUCGUUUACCUUAGAUAAACACCAUAAUAAUAGAUAACGAUAGAUUGACACUUGGUCUCUAUGGAUUCGACAAUCUUUUAUAUUACUCUGACGCGUUCGUAUACUUACAAAAAGCACGCAUCAAUUUCUCCUUAAAGCGCCUUGUCCCUUACAUAAUGAUGGUCUAUUUCUAUGUGCUUGGACCACUCAUGAAAAAAAAAUAUUAGAUGCAAUAUGGAAUGUCAGUUGAUUGUCACAUAUGAGUUUUGUAUCCUGAAGAUCUCCCAACCUAAGCUCUGAGAGUAAAAUUUUAAGACAUGCAAGUUCCUUUAAGGCUGCUGCCAUAAAAUGAUAUUCAACUUCAACACUAUAUAGUAAAAUUUUAUUUUGUUAUUUGCUUCUUCGUGAGAUCAUAUAUUACCUCUAAUAAGGACACAAGAUCCAAAAGUGGAUCUCUUAUCCGAUAGUGAUUUGACCUAGCCUGCAUCUAAAUAACCAAUGAUUUUAGCAAUACCAUUAUCUUCACAUAACAAUCCUUUUCCUCGUGUACUCUUUAUAUCUCUAAGAAUUUGGAUGACUGAAUCACAAUGAUCAUCACAAGGAGAGUUAAGAAACUGGAUCACAAUGCUCAUCGCAAAUGUAAUAUCUCGCCUGGUGAUUGUAAGAUAGUCGAGUCUACCCAUAAUCUUUCAAAGCCCCCCUGACCUCGAAGAAGCUUGAUGUUGGGAUCCAUAGGAGUAUCAAUAGGAUGACAAUCAAGCAUACCAGUUUCACUGAGGAUGUCUAAUGCAUAAUUGCGUUGGUUGAUUGCAAUUCAUGAUGAGGAUUGGGCAACUUCAAUUCCUAAGAUGUAUCUGAGUGGACCCAAGUCUUUGGUCUGAAAUAUAUUAAAAAUAUUAGUUUUAAGAUGUUGGAUACCCUAUGUGUCGUCUCUAGUGAUAACAACAUCAUCAACAUAGACCACAAUAAAGAUGUGUCGACUGGUGGAGGAAUAAAUGAAGAGAACAAAGUGAUUUGCUUCAUAUUUAGUCAUACCAAACUAUAUCAAGAUAGAGUUGAAGCAAACAAACCAAACACAUGGGAACUGUUUCAUCCCAUAAAGAGAACGACGAAGCUGACAAACAAGUCUAGAAUUUCCAAGAACAAUAUAACAUGGAGGUUGAUCCAUAUAAACUUCCUCCAUCAAUUCUCUGUGUAAAAAGACAUUUUUAACGUCCAACUGAUGAAGCGACGAAUGAUGAAUGACAACCAUUGCAAGAAAGAGGCUGACUGAACUUAUCUUGGCGACCAGAAAAAGCAUCACCAUAACAUGUGUGUAUCCUUUGGCUACCAAACAUGCUUUGAAACGAUCUAUCAGACCAUCUAGUCCAACUUUCAUUGUCUAAACAUAUCGAGAUCCCACAGUAGUAUUGUCUGGAGGUAAAGUAACAAUGUCUGAAGCGUUAUUUGAAUGUAAUGCAACCAUUUCUUCCACCAUCGCCUGAAGCCAAUUGGGACCAGACAUAACUUCACCUGUAGACUUAGGAAAAAACACAUAAUCCAAAACAUAAACAAAAUAUAAAUAGGAAGUAGAGAGACGAUCAUAAUUUAACAAACAUACAUAUUUAGGAUUAUGAGGAUGAGAUCGAAUACCUUUUUGUAAUGCUAUUGGAAGGUCAAGUUCAGGUGACGUAACUGAAGGAGGAGUUGAAGCAAGAGAUGGUACUAGUGGGUCAAUGUCAUCUCUUACCUGUUGGUGUAAGCCCUAGAGGCCAAUACUUUUGGUACUUGUAUCAAAUUAUCUAUUAAUAAUAAAAGGCUUUUUCUUUAUUAUGUUUGUCUAAUAAAUUCCCUAGAAUAGAUAGUCCGUUUAAUGUAUCGAGUGUGACUUAAUCAUGAGAUAACAUUAAACAUAAGGACACUAUUCUUAAAGUAUCCAUAGUCGAGCUUUAUUGUGAAGUGGGAUAACAUUAAAGCAUUAAGACUAUUAUGUAUAUAGACUGAUGAUCACAUCUCAUGGAUCAUGGAUAAGGAGUUAUAGUUUAAACAUAGGUUAUGAAAUAUUAAGAGUAAUAUUUAUAUGGAAUGACCCGCUCAAUGAGAAUUACUCAUAUAGAAUGUUAUUGCAAAAGAUGUUCAUAAGUUAUUCUCAUGCGUGGAUAAUGGUGUAUACCCACCCUUCGACCUGAAACCACUAUGGACCUAGUAGUCGAGUUCGAGUGCCUUAUUGCUGAUCAAACAUUGUCCGUAACUGGAUGACCAUAAAGACAGUUGAUGGGUACUCCACGAAGCAUGCUAAGAGACAUGAGUGACCUAGAUGGAAUUUGCCCAUCCCGCGUAACAGGAUAAAUGUCUAUGGGCCCAAUGUUGAACUAGACAAGGAUGACACGAUCUAUGCCUUGUGUUCAAUAUAGACAUAAGGGCAAAAGGGUAAUUGUACACAUAAGUAUUAUCACAAAAGGAUUUGUCAUAUCACAUGACAUUUUUGUGUCUUGGGUAGCAGUGAUGUGUUCCUAGAUACCGCUCACUGUUUAUUAUGUUAAAUACGUGAUUUAAUAUAAUUGCCAAUGUCGCGAAAACCUACAGGGUCACACACAAAAGGACGGAUUGAUGAGAGAUAGAGUAACUAAGGAAUAUCGUAAUGUACGGUGCACUUAAGUGAAUUGUAGUACAUCUUAAGGUACGGUGUACUUAAGUAGAAUACGAAAUAUGGUAAGGUACCACGCGCUUAAGUGAUUUUGGCAUAUUAUAAGAUAUGGGCCACAUACACUUGAGUGGGCUUUUUAGCUUGCAGCCCAUUAAGUGAUUUUGGCAUAUUAUAAGAUAUGGGCCACAUACACUUGAGUGGGCUUUUUAGCUUGCAGCCCACACAAGUGGUUCUAUAAAUAGAACCCUUGUGUAGAAGCAUUAGUGCAAUUGCAAUUUCGUUUCUCUGUCUCUCUCACUCAAAGCCUUCAUUCGUAGUAGCUAGCACUGAGAUUGAAGGAAUCCGUUCAUGUGGACUGAGUAGAGGCGUUGUCAUCGUUCAACGUUCGUGAUCGCUCUGUAGAUCUGCAUCAAAGGUUAAAAUUGCCACAAGAGGUAACAAUUCUAUCACUGAUCAUGCCCAUUCAUAAGGAUCACUAAAGGAGAAAUUUUAAAUUUCACUGCGUUUUGGAUCGCUCUUCUCCUUCAGUGGUAUCAGAGCCACUUACGAAACCAUGCAUCUGAUAGCUGCUUAUUUUCUGUAUUUUCUAUAUUAAUACGAUUAAAAGACAAAAUGAAUAAAAAAAAAUAAACGAGUAAUUAAAUUUGGCAUCAUGUGUGUACGAUUUGGAUGAUUGAUGUUGACUAUGCUUCGGAAUCCGACAUUAGUAUGGUGAAGCAGCGAUACAUCGAUCGUCCAGAGGUUAUGCAAUUGAGAUCGAUCAAGUUAUAUAUAUGAUAUAAGUAAUCCUGAUGCAAAAUACGGUAUAUAUGAUAUACUGUUUCUGUUUCGUUCAUUCAAACACUUAAUGGUUGUUUUCCUUUGAGAAAUACGGUAUAUAUGAUAUACUGUUUCUGUUUCGUUCAUUCAAACACUUAAUGGUUGUUUUCCUUUGAGCGAUCAAUGGUCGUUUGCUUCUUGAUCCGACAUUAGUAUGGUGAAGCAAUGACGUGUUGAUUAAUCAUACUGAAUCAACAAUCGAGGUGUGUUUGACGGUCUGAAAUUGGUGCAUUAGGGUUAAUGAUAGCACAAGGGUUGUGUUGUCAAAGAGUUAUGCGAUUAGGGUUAUGACUGCGCAAGAGUUGUGCUUUAAAGUAUCAAGUGUUGAUGCGAAAAACAAUGUCGAUUUCAAAUGAAUUAUUCAUUAAAAAUUUCGGCCAGGGGCAGCAGACCCUCGACUAACUCUGUGUAGUGUGAUCGGUCGCCGAAAUUUAAUUUGGUUUUAAAUAAUUAAAAGAAUUAAAAUUAAUAAUAAUAAUGUGUUUAUUAUUAUUGUCUUGUGGUGAUCAGCUAUGGCCUUAGUUUUCCUUUAUUUUGUUUUGGGUUUUUUAAAAAUACAACCUGCGUGUCGUGCCUCUCUUUUAAUCUCAUAAUGUAACUUCUUUUCUCAUCUCACUCCCUCGUAUGUAAAACGAGUUUCUUUUAUGUAAUGUAAUGUUAUGAAGAAAGAGAAGAAUUCAAUAUCAAAUGAGGACAACCUUGAAGAUCUUGCUUGGAGAAGCUUAGAUCGUUAUUAGGUUAGCUUAGGUUCUCUCAUUGGCUUGGGAGAACAAUUGCGCUAGGGGCCAUAACUGUUUCAUUAUGUAUGUAUGUAUGUUGAUGCAUGUGAAUGUAUGUUGAUGCAUGUGAGAGACGNNNNNNNNNNNNNNNNNNNNNNNNNNNNNNNNNNNNNNNNNNNNNNNNNNNNNNNNNNNNNNNNNNNNNNNNNNNNNNNNNNNNNNNNNNNNNNNNNNNNNNNNNNNNNNNNNNNNNNNNNNNNNNNNNNNNNNNNNNNNNNNNNNNNNNNNNNNNNNNNNNNNNNNNNNNNNNNNNNNNNNNNNNNNNNNNNNNNNNNNNNNNNNNNNNNNNNNNNNNNNNNNNNNNNNNNNNNNNNNNNNNNNNNNNNNNNNNNNNNNNNNNNNNNNNNNNNNNNNNNNNNNNNNNNNNNNNNNNNNNNNNNNNNNNNNNNNNNNNNNNNNNNNNNNNNNNNNNNNNNNNNNNNNNNNNNNNNNNNNNNNNNNNNNNNNNNNNNNNNNNNNNNNNNNNNNNNNNNNNNNNNNNNNNNNNNNNNNNNNNNNNNNNNNNNNNNNNNNNNNNNNNNNNNNNNNNNNNNNNNNNNNNNNNNNNNNNNNNNNNNNNNNNNNNNNNNNNNNNNNNNNNNNNNNNNNNNNNNNNNNNNNNNNNNNNNNNNNNNNNNNNNNNNNNNNNNNNNNNNNNNNNNNNNNNNNNNNNNNNNNNNNNNNNNNNNNNNNNNNNNNNNNNNNNNNNNNNNNNNNNNNNNNNNNNNNNNNNNNNNNNNNNNNNNNNNNNNNNNNNNNNNNNNNNNNNNNNNNNNNNNNNNNNNNNNNNNNNNNNNNNNNNNNNNNNNNNNNNNNNNNNNNNNNNNNNNNNNNNNNNNNNNNNNNNNNNNNNNNNNNNNNNNNNNNNNNNNNNNNNNNNNNNNNNNNNNNNNNNNNNNNNNNNNNNNNNNNNNNNNNNNNNNNNNNNNNNNNNNNNNNNNNNNNNNNNNNNNNNNNNNNNNNNNNNNNNNNNNNNNNNNNNNNNNNNNNNNNNNNNNNNNNNNNNNNNNNNNNNNNNNNNNNNNNNNNNNNNNNNNNNNNNNNNNNNNNNNNNNNNNNNNNNNNNNNNNNNNNNNNNNNNNNNNNNNNNNNNNNNNNNNNNNNNNNNNNNNNNNNNNNNNNNNNNNNNNNNNNNNNNNNNNNNNNNNNNNNNNNNNNNNNNNNNNNNNNNNNNNNNNNNNNNNNNNNNNNNNNNNNNNNNNNNNNNNNNNNNNNNNNNNNNNNNNNNNNNNNNNNNNNNNNNNNNNNNNNNNNNNNNNNNNNNNNNNNNNNNNNNNNNNNNNNNNNNNNNNNNNNNNNNNNNNNNNNNNNNNNNNNNNNNNNNNNNNNNNNNNNNNNNNNNNNNNNNNNNNNNNNNNNNNNNNNNNNNNNNNNNNNNNNNNNNNNNNNNNNNNNNNNNNNNNNNNNNNNNNNNNNNNNNNNNNNNNNNNNNNNNNNNNNNNNNNNACCUGUUCCUGAAGAGGAACCUCCUAGUUCUGCACCUAAGGCAGAAAGAGAUGCUUAUAAGAAGCAUGUCGAUGAUGCCAAUGAAACUGCUUGUCUCAUGCUAGCUACCAUGAACUCAGAGUUGCAAAAGCAACAUGAGAACAUGGCAGCGUUCGAUAUGAUCGAACACCUGAAGAUGCUCUAUCAAGAGCAAGCAAGGCAUGAAAGGUUUGAAGUUUCAAAAGCCCUUUUUCAAGGCAAGUUAGCUGAGGGAGCCCCUGUAGGUCCCCAUGUGCUCAAGAUGAUUGGGUAUGUGGAAAACCUUGAGAGGUUAGGUUUUCCCCUCGAAAAGGAACUUGCGACUGAUUUGAUCUUGCAAUAGUUUCCAGAUAGAUUCAGUUAAUUUGUCCUAAAUUUCAAUAUGAAUGAUAUUGACAAAUCUCUUCCUGAACUGCUAGCCAUGUGAAGAACUGUUGAGCAGAAUCUGAAGUCAAAAGGGAAGUCCAUUCUGAUGAUCAGAAACGGAAAGAGACAGAACAAAAGACCCACCAAGCAGGGUGAUAAAGGGAAAGGCAAGGAAGUUGCCAAACCCAAACCCACUGUUUCUGCUUUGAAUCCUAGUGGAGGCAUAGCAAAGGAGGGCACCUGCUUCCAUUGCGGUAAGACCGGACACUGGAAGAGAAACUGCCCAAAGUACCUGGAAGGUAAGAAGAAUGGAGUAGAGACUUCAACUUCAGGUAUUUUUGUUAUUGAAAUUAAUUUAUCUACUUCUGCAUCAUCGGUAUUAGAUAUUGGAUGCGGUUCUCACAUUUAUACCAAUGUGCAGGUGCUAAAAAGGAAUAGAGAUUUGGCAAAAGGUGAAGUUGACCUACGAGUUGGCAAUGGAGCAAAGGUUGCUGCUUUAGCCCUAGUGGUUUAAUAAUUCAGUUAGAGAACUGUUAUUAUGUACCUGCAAUUAGCAGGAAUAUUAUUCUUGUUUCUUGUUUGGACAAGUUUGGUUUUUCAUUUAUAAUAAAGAACAAUUGUUGCUCAAUUUGUUUGAAUGAUAUAUUCUAUGCUACUGCACAAAUGAACAAUGGACUAUAUGUCCUUGAUCUUGAAAUGCCUAUUUAUAACAUUAAUACUAAAAGGAUGAAACCUAAUGAGCUAAAUCCAACUUACCUUUGGCAUUGUCGAUUAGGCCACAUAAAUGAGAAACACAUUUCCAAACUCCANAUGAUGCCAAUGAAACUGCUUGUCUCAUGCUAGCUACCAUGAACUCAGAAUUGCAAAAGCAACAUGAGAACAUGGCAGCGUUCGAUAUGAUCGAACACCUGAAGAUGCUCUAUCAAGAGCAAGCAAGACAUGAAAGCUUUGAAGUUUCAAAAGCCCUUUUUCAAGGCAAGUUAGCUGAGGGAGCUCCUGUAGGUUCCCAUGUGCUCAAGAUGAUUGGGUAUGUGGAAAACCUUGAGAGAUUGGGUUUUCCCCUCGGAAGGGAACUUGCGACUGAUUUGAUCUUGCAAUCGUUGCCAGAUGGAGUCAGUCAAUUUGUCCUAAAUUUCAAUAUGAAUGAUAUGGACAAAUCUCUUCAUGAACUGCUAGCCAUGUUAAGAACUGCUUAGCAGAAUCUGAAGACAAAAAGGAAGUCCAUUAUGAUGAUCAGAAAUGGAAAGAGACAGAACAAAAGGCCCACCAAGCAGGGUGAUAAAGGGAAGGGCAAGGAAGUUUCCAAACCCAGACCCAUUGUUGCUACUUUGAAGCCUAGUGGAGGCAUAACAAAGGCAGGCACCUACUUCCAUUGCGGUAAGACCGGACACUGGAAGAGAAACUGCCCAAAGUACUUGGAAGAUGACAAAAUCUCCAUUCACAGGAAAAGGUGAAAUAGCUAAUGAUCUUUUGGCCCUCAUACAUACUGAUGUAUGUGGACCACUGAACAUUCCAGCCAGAGGAGGUUUUCAGUACUUCAUUUACCGAUGAUUUCAGUAGAUAUGGUUAUGUGUAUUUAAUGAAACACAAAUUAGAGUCCUUUGAAAAGUUCAAGGAAUUCAAGAAUGAAGUACAAAACCAACUAGGUAAGAAUAUUAAAACUCUUCAAUCAGAUCGAGGUGGUGAAAUAAAUUCGGAUCUCAAACUACUGGUAGACUUUGAGUGUGGGAUCCUAUCCCAACUUACUCUUCCUGGAACACCCCAAUGGAAUGGUGUAUCUGAGAGAAGAAAUCGAACCCUGUUAGAAAUGGUCUGAUCCAUGAUGAGUCACGCCGAUCUUCCAAACUCCUUUUGGGGACAUGCACUAUUGACAUCAUAGUUCUUCUCCCUACAGACCCAUGAUGAAUGGGGUUGUUGAAGCUGCGAAUAAGAAUAUAAAGAAGAUUAUCCAAAAAAUGGUUGUCACGUAUAAGGAUUGGCAUGAGAUGCUCCCAUUUGCUUUGCAUGGGUAUCGUACAUCCAUCUGCACUUCAACAGGGGUAACCCCUUUAUCUCUUGUAUAUGGUAUGGAAGCAGUGCUCCCCGUAGAGGUUGAGAUUCCUUCAUUGCGUGUGCUCAUGGAAGCCAAGUUGAUUGAAGAUGAAUGGUGUCAGACCAGGUUUGACCAGUUGAAUUUAAUUGAAGAGAAGAGAUUAACUGCCAUCUGUCAUGGUCAGUUAUAUUAGCAGAGAAUGAAAAAAGCUUUUGAUAAGAAGGUCAAAUCUCGAGUGUUUAAAGAAAGUGACCUUGUGCUCAAGAAGAUUUUUACAUUCAAGUUGGAUUCCAGAGGAAAAUGGACUCCCAAUUAUGAAGGCCCAUAUGUUGUUAAGAGAGACUUUUUAGGCGGUGCUUUGAUUCUUACAAUAAUGGAUGGUGAAGAGUUCACUCGUCCUGUGAACGCAAAUGUAGUCAAGAAAUACUUCGCCUAAAAAAGAAAAGAACAACUCGCUAAGUUGAAAACCUGAAAGGGCGGCUUAGGCAAAAAUGAGCGUCUCGGUGGAUUGAAAACCCGAAAGGGCGAUCCAGGCAAAAAUUAGAGACAUAAAACAGAAAGAAUUUCCCGAUAAGUUGAGUACCCCACCUUGGGGAAAGCGGCUUAGGCAAAAAUGAGCGUCUCGGUGGAUUGAAAACCCGAAAGGGCGAUCCAGGCAAAAAUUAGAGACAUAAAACAGAAAGAAUUUCCCGAUAAGUUGAGUACCCCACCUUGGGGAAACUUAUACAAAAAUUAGGGAUUAUGGCAAGUAACUGCAUUCUGCUGAUCUUCAGUGAUUUUGAAGGCUUGUUUGAGCACAAAGGGUUGACAUCGAUUCAUUACCCCAACAGCGGUCAAGAGCACAAUGGAUAUCAAGAGUUGGUAGAAGGAAUAAGGAUCAUUUGUAUUCAAUGUAACCCUUUUCCAUGUAAAUUACCAUUUUCAACUUCGUAAAAAUCUAUGGAGUCUUGUCAUUUACAGACUACCAUUCCAUUAAAUAAAGUUGAGCUUUUAUCCAAUUAUUUCUAAUCUUAUUUACUUCAGCCAAUAGUUUUAAAUUUUAUUAUGAUCAUUUUGAAAUAAAAAAUUUAAAUCAAAAUCAAGUUUUCUUUAAUAUAUAAAAGCAAGAAUUUUUCCAAAGCAAGUUAAAAGGAAUAUCAACAGCAUUUCAAGGAAUAACAAGUCCUUAAGGGUGAAACAUCAGAGGUUCCCCAAGCAGUUAACCCUUCGGGUAUCCCUAGACAUUAGUGUUGAUUCAGUUCCUCGGUGGAGUGUUCGAUCCUCAGUGGAAUUUCUUUGUCCCCAGCUGAUUUGGUUGAUUCAGAUACCCUGUGGCGUGUUGUUUUCUCCGACAGAGUUUCUGCCUUCCCCAACGAAGUUUGUAUUUCCUCAGCAGGGUGGAUCUUCAGAGAUGGUUGAUCUUCCCCGAUGGAUCGCUUUGGUUUCCCCACCAAUCACCAUUCAAUUUGCUCCCAGUCAGAGUUUCCUCCUGGUUUCUGAGCAGCUUUUCUUAUUGAUUAUUCUCUGUAGGGUUGUCUCCCAUUUUUAUGGUGUUGACCUAAAAUUCCCCAAAGAGUUGAUAUUGUUCUAUCCUCAGCAGAUCUCCUCCUUCCCCGGUUAGGUUUGAACCUUUGGGAUGUUGAUCUCUCUGUUCUCCAGCAGUUGUCUCCAUGUUUUGUGGAUUGACCGAGGAUUGUACCAGUGGUUUAAUUUCUUUGCGACACCUUUGUAUCCUUUGUGAUCAUUUUGUCAGCAUAAUCAUCAUAUAUACAUAUACAUACACAUUCAUAUAAUUUCAUAAUUUGCAUAUCUCGCAUAUUCAUAUUUGAUUUAUUUGAGAUUCUUAUGGCGGUAUUUUAUCCCCAUACCAAAUCUGGUGUCUGUCCUCCUUCAAUUAUAGAGUGUCAUCCCCUUAAGCAGAAAGACUUUAACCUUUCUCCGUUUCCCCACUGAGUUUGUUACCUCAUGGACUGUUGUUAUUUUAGUUUCCUUUCCAGUGAAUUUUCUGGAUGGAAUUACUCCCAUUGAGUUAUGUCCUCACUGGGAUGGGUCUUUAUUGGCCAUUUUCUUUCUAGCUCUUACCUAGAUAGAUGCUUUGGUCCCCUAAGAGUCUAUUACCCAGUAACUGGUAAUAUUCUUCUUAGUUUGCAGUUUGUUACUUCUUGCCUAAUACCCAAAAAAAAGUACCCUUAUCUUUCUCCUCAGUAGAGUCCCCAGUGGGUCUAUUCCCCAGGAAGUAUAUCCUUGAUAUGUUCAUCCUAACCGGUGACGGAUAUUUUUCCUUCCCCUGCCUGAGUCUAUCCUUGAUAUGUUCACUUUAACCAGUGACGGAUAUUCUCAUUUUUGGUAUUCUACCCAGUAAAAAGGUAGUUGUAAUCCCUAUUUUGUUCCUCAGAGAGUUAAUAGAUAUGUUCACUUUAACCAGUGACGGAUAUUCUCAUUUUUGGUAUUCUACCCAGUAAAAAGGUAGUUGUAAUCCCUAUUUUGUUCCUCAGAGAGUUAAUCCUUGAUAUGUUCAUCUUAACCGAUGACAAAUUUUCUUCUCCUUGUGGUUUUCUACCCAGUAAUCGGUAGUUGUAAAUCCUGCUUUAUCUCCUUUUCAGAGUCUAUCCUUGAUAUGUUCAUCUUAAUCGGUGACGGAUUUUCUCUUUGAUUGGUCUUCUACCCAGUAACCGGUAGUUGUAAAUCCUACUUUGUCCCCUCGCAGAGUUAAUCCUUGAUAUGUUCAUCCUAACUGGUGACGGAUUUUCUCUCUGACGGUUUUCUAUCCAACUUUCGAUAGAUGUAAUUCCUACCCUUUUUGUUCAGUUGGUAUAUCCUUGAUAUGUUCAUCCUAACCGAUGACGGGUAUCCUCCUUGGCAUUUCCAGACAAGUCUAUCCUUGAUAUGUUCAUCUUAACCGGUGACAGAUUUUCUUCCCUGUUGAGUUUAUCCUUGAUACGUUCAUCCUAACCGAUGACGGAUACUCUCUCCCUUGGUCUUCUGCCCAGUAACUGGUAGUUGUAAAUCCUAUAUUUUCUGCAGUUUUUCCCAGCAAGGCUAUUCUUACCCAGUAACCGGUAAUGAAUUUCCUCUCCUGGAAUCCUCAGCGAGUCAUCCUUGAUAUGUUCAUCCUAACCGAUGACGAAUGUUCUCUCUGUCAGAUCUUUAUUAUCUCAUUAUCUAGUAACAGGUAGUAGAUAAUAGAUUUCGGUUCCUCCUGUGUUUAAGUUUUUCUUCCCCAGUCGAGUUGAGUGCGUAUUUCCUUAGUGAAAUCGCUUUUCUUUCAUGAGUCGAGUAUUUCAGUUUUAUCCAUACUUACUCGUAUCCCCUGCAGAUGUUAUUAUUCCCUGGCUGAGUCUUUUCCAUGUUUGUAUGGAAUCUCUUGAGUCUCCCCAGUAGAUUUAAGUCGUAGCCUGGCCUACGCAUAACUCCUUUUUCCCUAGAGUCUCUGUCUCCCCAGUGAGUUUUCCUUACGAAAUGCAUUGUGCUCCUACGGAUUUUUGGUCUCUCUGAUUUCUUUUUCCUUUGUGGCAAUAUUUCCCCACAGAGCAUUAACUUUUGCAUUCAUGUCAUAUGCAUCAUGAGGUCUCUUAGGGACCAAAAUUUGUUUCUUUAUGUUGUUAUUUAAGCCCAUUCUACUGAGUCGACAUGAAGAUUUUUACCUUCGCCUCCUCAGUUAUAAUGUCCUUAAAUAGGGGCAGCUGUAAGACCCCAAUUUUGACCCUAAGAUCCCUCAUGUAGUUUCAUCAUAAGCAUUAGCAUUGGGCUCAUACCUUGGCAUCCUCCUUACCCCUCUUUCAUUGGGUUUGUUUUGGGAGAGAUCACCAAGCACUUUGUGAUUGUAUCAUACUUGUAUUUUAUGUAAAGUGAUUGGUUUUAUAGUUUUUAUACAGAUUGCAUUUGCCUAACUCUUUUGUAGGAAGGGCAUGAUCUCCAUUGAUCUAUCAAGUUCACAUCUAGGGUUUGAGACCCUCAUGAACAAAGAGCAUAACCAAGAAUUGAUUCAAGAAUGGUUAUGAACAUCAUAUAUGAGUCUCAAUUUUCUCUACAUGUUAUAUUGAUCAAGUUUUCUUCAAGAGUUUGAGGGUGAUUUGCCUUGGAAACCCUAGUUUGAUUGGGUAUCUUGAGUAACUUCUCCAACAAGCUAUCUCACCAACUGAUCAAAUUUCUCAAGGGAUACUUCAAAUUUCAUCAUCUUAUGCAUAUAUGAUCUAACAUGAGCCAAGAAAGUCAAGAUAAUUGGAAGUUAGCAAGUUGGUUGAUGGUGGUUGGCCAGAUGGAUUCAUCUGAUCAAAACUGGGUCUCCCUAGACCCUAUGUCCUACAAUUUUCACCAUAUGAAAAUUAUUCCAAGAGAAAACUUACUCUAAAUAACAUUCCAAACAAGUUUCAUGUUGAGACCUAGAUCUAGUUUUGCUUUGAAAAUCAUUUUCUAUAUUGAAACAUUAUAGGUUAUUUUGUCUAAACCCUAAUUUGAAAGUCAACUUCCCAAGACCAUAACUUGCUCAAUUUUUAUGAGAUGAAAUAUUUCCAAGUUUCAUAAUCAAAUUCAAUGUGUCUACUUCAACUUUGUUGUUUGAAGUGGGAGCUAAUUCAAAUUGUUUGAGCAUGUGAUAUGAGGUUACAUUAUAGGUCACUUUUGACCUAUACCAUUGAUCAAGUGAUUUUUCCAAACUUCAAAAAUGCACAACUCUAUCAUUUUAAAUCCAAAUGACAUGGAAUUGCUGACCAUUUUGAAGGUAUUUGAGAGAGCUACAAGUUUAAUGAAAACACCUUUCUCAUUUGAAGCUCAUAUAAAAAGUUAAGCAAGGUGGAACAUUGAGACAUAUGACUUGACACUUAGAAAAAUUUUGAUAUGUCAAAAAUUUCCAAACUUCCACCUCAAAUUUCUCCAAGUUGCAAGCUCCAAAUGAAAAAGUAUUGAACAUGAAAGUUGUUCCUCUUGAUCUCACUUUGACAAAAAGCUCAAAUUCAUUCAUUUUGGACAAGGAAUGCAUAGGUUGUGCAUGGCAUGAACAUGGUGACAUCACUUGGCAAGGAUCAAACUUCAAAUCCAAAUGCACAAUUGCCUUGCAAUCCAAGCUGAAUUCAGACUAUCUAACAUUCAUUUGGGGACUUAUGGCAAUGAUUUUAUGGGCUUAUGCGCGCCCAUGCACCCAUGCAUCAUCAAUGACCAAAUUUGGAAAGUGAUUUCAAGUUUGCAAAUAUCAAUGGUUUCAGCUAUAAAUAGAGCCUCAUAUGCUCAACAAUCAACACACAUUCGCGCCAGCUUUGAUCCCCCAUCUCAAACCCUCACUUUGCAAAGGAUAAACUUGAGAAAUUCAUUUGAAUUUAAGGUUGAAUUUCCACUGUUUUGAAAUUCAAAUCUCCAGGAAUCCACAACCUUGUAAGCAUCCAAUACUUCUUCUGCAAGAAAGUGGAGUGAGAUCAAGCACAAGCAAGAUCAAGAUCAGUUGAAUCCAGACCUCCAUUGAAGGUAUUUUUUAGAAAUUUUGAUCUCUUCGAUUCUCUCAAAUUCUUGCUCAAUUCUAAACUAAGAAACCAACAGACUUCAGGAUGGUUACAUCGCAAGAAGAUUGAGUUGCUUUGAGGCCAAAUCGAAGCAACUCAGUUCAUGUACCUCAAAUUUCAACUCCAUGUAUCUCUCAAUAUACUUGAGUUAGAGUGAAUUGAGGCCAGAUUCGAGCUCAGUUCCAUUUUUACUUUGAAAUCAUGUCCUUGUUUUUAAUUUUGGUGAUGGUUGAUGGUGGACCAGUCCGGUGAGGUCCACCGGAGAAGAAGAUCGGAGCUAUAGCUCCGGCCAUGCGCUGGCAUGUCUCACAACCACAUGAUCCUCUUGUUUUGUUUUAAUCACGAUCGUCCCUUUUAAAUACCAAUGUUGUGGCACGCUGACUCAUGUCCAUCGUGGAUAGCGCGUUUCUGGCCACUUGAUCUGCCACCUCAAUUAAUAAGGGAGAUCAAGUGGUCCACGUUUUUUCUGAUAUUUUAAUUGCAUUAUUUUCAACAAUUCAUAUUAAAUUCAAUAUUGAUCCAAAAAAUAUGGGAUUUUCACCAAAAAAAUUCAAAUAUUUUUCUCUUUCAUAUUAUGAAUUAAAAUUAUUUUUUGGAUCAUUAUUAAUAUUUUUCAUGAAUUAAUUGAUUUUGCAUUUGUUUUUAAUUGUUUAAAAAUAUUGUUAAAUAUCCAAAAAUUAUGAAAAUUUUUCUCCAAGGUCCUUUGACCUUGUUUGACCUAUGAUAAAUCUCAUGCCCAUUUCUUUGGUGUUUUGAUGAGAUUUUAGGAAUUGGAUAAACCAUAUUUAAUUUAAAUGCACUAUUUUAGUAUUUUUAAUUUGAAUAAAUUCCAAAUAAAUUUGUUGACCAAUUGUGAUGACUUGUUUAUGUUUGAAUCUUGUUGUUGGGCCUUAGUCAAGGUUGAUUUGACUUUGUCAAAUUAAUAUCAUUGGAUUUAGGGGAUUGAUGAAAUGUACAUUCCAUCUCCCAAAAUGAAUGGAUGAUAUUAAUUUGGUAAAAGUCCUCCUUUGACCAAUUUGUGUUUUGAUCCAUUCCCCUCCCACUUCAUCUUAUCCCCUUUCUUCAUUCAUUCAUUCCAUUUGGCCCGUGACAUCUCAAAGUCCUAAUGCUAAUUGAUUGAAAAGUUGACAUGAGUAUGGAUAAGAUUAGGUCACACCUUUUGCAUAUUCUUUUUGUGUGUGGUAUGUUUCAUGAGCAUAGUCCAUUAUAUUAUGUCUCUAACAUGCAUUAACACCAAAAUUCUAUUGUCCGACCUCAAAUAGUUGUGCCUUCUACAUAAGUCCAAUUACGAUUGCUUAACAUAGCGCUAAAUUUGUGACAUAAAAGGCAUAAGCAUUCUAGUUAGUGAGAUUGUAAGUCUCCCCUCCUUUAUGGUAUUGUGUGGAAACUUUGCCUUCUUUCCUUCCUUUGGAAGAUGUUUUGGCUCAAGGAUUCAUGCUUGUGAUAAGUGGGUUGAGUAUUCUCCAAAGAAUGUCUUGAAAUGAAAAGCAAAAGCAAAACAAUACUAACUUCUAACCAAUUAACUACUAACUUUUAAUUUCAAGCUUUUACUUUAAUGCAAUUUACUUUUAGCACUCUAUUUCAUUUCCCAUUGUUCAUAUCAUUAUAAUUGUUCAUGUUAAUGCAAUUUUCACUUUGUCCAUUUGGACCAUAUUGUGUGAUAUAUUUUGUUUGUGUAUACUUUGCUUGUUUGUGUGGUCUUUGACCAUUAAUGUACAUAAUAAUAACAAAAACCCUAAAAAACUUUUGAGUGGACUGUUGGCUUGAUCUUGGACAAAUGGACUUAGAAUCUAGGCAACCUUCCUAUGCUAAAGGACUUGGCCAAUGCCAACUUAUUGAGAAACCAAGUGCUUGCAAUUUGAAACUUCAUCUGAUACAUCAUUCAAGAUCUCUCUAAGUUCAUCUGCAACAUGAUCAUUGUGAAGCUGUUAUUUUGAACCUGUGACUUGUGGAAUUCAUCUGUUACAUGGGCUAUUUUGAAGAAGAUCAUGGAAUGGAUAAGCUUGGAUGUGGCCAUCUUUAUUUGAUGCCUUGCUCUUCAAGAUAAUAUAAUUGUGCAUUUGUGUGUUGCUUGAUUCUAAAAGUCCAAGGGAAUUCUGGGUUUCUAUUGACAUACUUGUCUAUUGGAUUGCUACCCAUUUGGUCAGAUCUUUUCAACUCUAAACUUUUAAAUUUUGUGCAUAGGGUAGUCUCUUCAUCUUCUCCCCAUUUCUUUAAUUUCAAAAUCUCUCUCUCUAUUUUCAAAAUCUUCUUUGUGUGAACUACUUUUGUUCUAAACUUUGACCACUUUGGCAAAAAGAUAGAAACUUUGGCCUUAUGCCAUUGCAUUUUCAAACUUAUUUUCUUAAAUCAAACUUGUAAAUAAACUUAACUAUACUUGACUUAAACUUUCAAAAAGCCAAAAAGAACUAACUCAUUCAAACCAUUUUUAGGCCUUUGUGCCUUUCAAACUUAAUUUUUGUUAAAAGCAAUGCAUCCACUUUGAAAUUUGUAUCACGAAUUACGAGGUUUUGAUCCCUCAUUUUUAUGUUGGUACGUAGGCACAAGACCGAAGGUCUUGUCAAACACAAAAAUAUAAUUAAUGAAUUCUUUUCUCAUCCCCCCAUUCUAUUUGUUUGUAAACAUCACUUUGUACAAAAUACAUAUGCACACAAAAAGGGCUCCCUAGGAGUACCUAGGACACUUUGGGUGCUAACACCUUCCCUCUGUGUAACCAACCCCCUUACCUGUGAUCUCUGACUUUUAUUAGUUUUUAUUUGAAAACUUCUUACUAUUUGGGUUUUGUUCGUACUUUUUCCCUUUUCCCUUGGAAACAAUAAAAGCGCGGUGGCGACUCUUGUUAUUUGAUCUCUAGCUUAUCCAUAGCUUGAUGAUCAUGAAUUUACCGCUACAGAAAUUAAGUGGCGACUCUGUUGGGGAGUAGUCUCCAGUGGGUUUAGCCUACUUUUUGUGUGUAUAUAUUUGUAUAUAUGUGAUGUUUGUAUAUAUGUAUGUGUGAUAUAAUCUGCUUGUUGUGCUUGGUGAUCUCUGAGUGGUGAGAUAAGUUCUAACCCGAACUUGAGUGCAAUUAAGAUAGGAGGAUGGUAUAGUCAUGUUCGACUUGUGUGGAGUAGUCCUUAACAAGUUGGCUUGAGAUCCAUCUGCUCAGUGGAGACUCUUUUGGAUUUGGAAAUGUCACACAAGUAUUUGUGGUUAGGCAUUACUAUCUCUAAUUUGGGUCCGAGAAGCUGAGGACCGUAGAACAUUUACCCCCUCUUGGCCUAUUUAGGACGUAGUGCGGAAACUGUUCAAGUGUAGACUUGAUAACAGUUGUUACGCGAUACUACACUCAGACGAGUUUCUCUUGAGAAUAUUAUGGGUCGAUGAGUCAGUCAUCUUAACCUGUAAUAUCCGAUAGAUGGAAUUAAGACUCUGGGAACUUUUUAGAACAUGAUCUACAGGUUUUUAUCCUUAGUUCACUCCUUUGGGAUGGUUCUUACCCAGACUCCAUGCUCGUGACUUACAACAAACCCUUGAUUCUUGGUUGAUCCAAUCAAGUCUUGUCAAUAUCAAUGGAACUUGGGUGUUGAUAAGGUGUAAACCAUAAUCCACCAAAAUGGAUGAUUGAUCUUGACAAUGACUUGAUUCAUCCCUUGACCUUUGUUUGCCUUGUGUGUGAUCCCUUAUUUGUGAUUGUUGCAUUCAUGCAUUCAUGCGCAUCAUAACAUUCAUCACACGAAAAUUUCAAGGAACUGAGGUAUUAUUUGCAAAUAUUUUCAGACCAUGGAUUAUGGACGAAGGAACACUAAGAAGUACAGUUUCAGAUGUCCCGACUUGAAAGAGUUAAGGAAGCUAGCAUCUUUUGUAUUAGAUCCCUUGGACUUCAAACAACGUCAUGGGAAGCUUCUGUCCAUCUUGUCUGCUGAUGUAGUUGAAGGACUCUUGAGUGUGCUAGUGCAGUUCUAUGUCCUCUCUACCAUUGUUUCACUUUCCCAGAUUUUCAGCUUGUGCCUACCUUGGAGGAGUAUUCUCAUCUUUUUGGGAUACCUAUUUCUAGUAGAAUGCCUUUUAGUGGAUUGGAGGAGAUUCUCCGAUCUAGUAUUAUUGCUGAAGCUCUUGACUUGAAGAAGUCUAAGAUAGAGGCUCAUUGGGUGAAGAAAGGAGGAUUAUUUGGGUUGCCAUCUGUUUUCCUCAUCAAGGAAGCUACUACUUUUUCUCAAGCUGGUAGUAUGGAUGCUUUUGAAGCUAUACUUGUGUUGCUCAUUUAUAUAUUAACUUUGUUCCCUAACAUUGACGGUUUUGUUGAUGUUAACGCCAUUAGACUUUUCUUGAUUAGGAAUCCUGUGCCUACUUUGUUGGGUGAUAUGUAUUUCUCUUUGCAUCUAAGGAAUUCUAAGGGUGGUAGAACGAUUGUCUGUUGCGUUCCUCUUCUGUACAAGUGGUUUAUUUCGCACUUACCUCAGACACCUGCUUUUCUAGAGAACAAACAAUGUCUAAGGUGGUCUCAGAGACUUAUGUCUCUCACUAAUGAUGAUAUAGUUUGGUAUGAUCCGUCUUUAAGCAGUUUGAAGAUUGAUAGUUGUGGUGAAUUCUCUAAUGUGCCUUUCAUUGGUACACAAUGGGGAAUUAACUAUAACCCUGCUUUGGCUCAUCGUCAACUUGGGUUCCCCUUGAGAGACAAACCUAAUAACAUGUUGUUAGAAGGUCUUUUCUAUCAAGAGGGUAAAGAUCCCCAACAUUUGAAGUAGAAGAUUGUGCAUGAGGCUCAUCGUCAACUUGGGUUCCCCUUGAGAGACAAACCUAAUAACAUGUUGUUAGAAGGUCUUUUCUAUCAAGAGGGUAAAGAUCCCCAACAUUUGAAGUAGAAGAUUGUGCAUGCUUGGCAUAAUAUGCACAGGAAAGGAAGAUCCGAGCUUGGUCCGUGCAAUUGUGUAGCUUUGGAAGCUUACACUCUUUGGGUGAAGAAGAGAGCUAUGGAGUUGAAGAUGCCCUAUCCUUGUGAAAGACCUAUGUCUAUGGUUGUGGUUGAGCCAUUAACUCUCCCUAAGCAAGAUGUAGAGGAGUUGGAAGACGCGCUCGCCAAGAUGAAGCAAGAGAAGGAUAUGUGGGAAGAGCGUUUCUGUGCUUUGAGAAAGAAGCAUGAAGAGUUGCAAUUGGAGUCUAAGGACAAAGACGCACUUAUCGAGUUACUUGAAGACCGAGUGACGAAGAGACAGAGAGAGCCAGAGGUUUCAUCUUCUAGCAUGCCUCAGCCUUCCGUUGCUUGGAAGAAGAUUGUGGAUCAGCUUGUCCUCGAGAAGAUUUAGAUGAAGGCUUCUUUUGAGACCGAGAUCCGUCGCAUUCGAAGGAAGUACGCGCCUUCAGCCAAAUCUUCUGACAUUGUUGUUAGGGAUCCUUAGGAUGACUAGUCUCCUUUUCUCUUGUAUCUUUUAGAUGAAGGCUUCUUUUGAGACCGAGAUCCGUCGCAUUCGAAGGAAGUACGCGCCUUCAGCCAAAUCUUCUGACAUUGUUGUUAGGGAUCCUUAGGAUGACUAGUCUCCUUUUCUCUUGUAUCUUUUUCAUUUGGUUUCUGAAAUUGUACUCAGUGUAAUCCUUCCAAUUUAUAUAAAUAAAAAGAGAUUUUUGGUCAUAUCAAUUUGUUGCAAUUGGCAUUUAAAUAUUAUAUAUUUGCAAAUGAUAUAGUAAGUUCCUCGAAAAUAAAAAUAAUCAAGCAUUGCAUUUCAUGCAUCAUUUGCAUAAGCAGGUUUUCGUCAGAUGUCUGAUUGGUGUUUCUUCUGUGCUUUAGCCAAGCUGACUCACCGGUACAAUACCCGAGCCAAUCAUCAGAAAAUCAUGGAACAUUUGGAGCAAGAGAAUAGAGAGCUGAAGGACGAGAUCGCCCGUCUGACUGCCAUGAUGGAGUCAGUUCUUGCUGCUCAGAACCAAGCUUCUCCAACACCUGCAACUCCUCCCGCGAGGACUAUUACUUCAGAGGUGACUACCUCUACCAUGCCUGCUGCUAUCGCCCAUUUCACGCUGAAUAUGCCUGCCGGAUUCCCAUGGGAAAUUCCGCCCAACUUUGUGCCCGAAGGAUUUGCGCCUACAUUUGCUUCCAUGUCGGCAUCUAGCCCGGUCAUGUCCGUGCCACCUCCCGAUGUGCACACUUUGCCUCGUGUAGAGGAUACCAUCUAUCAUUCCGAGUCGUCUGAGGGUCCGGAUGUUUAUGAGAAGAUGGACGAAAUGAAAGAUCAGUUUCUUGAGUUGCGCAAGGAAUUGAAGACGCUGAGAAGUAAAGAUUUGUUUGGGAAGAGUGCUGUCGAGUUGUGUUUGGUACCCAAUGUCAAAAUCCCAGUGAAGUUCAAAGGGCCUGACUUUGAAAAAUAUAAGGGGAACUCUUAUCUGCUCAGUCAUCUUGUGAUGUAUGCUCGCAAGAUGUCUAUCUAGACAGAUAAUGAUCAAUUUCUUAUUCACUACAUUCAAGAUAGUUUAACUGGUGCUGCACUCCGUUGGUACAUGGGGUUGGAUAGUGCAAGCAUUCGCACUUUCAACGACUUGGGAGAGGCUUUUGUGAAGCAAUACAAGUAUAAUAUGGACAUGGCGCCAGAUAGAGACCAGUUGAGGUCUAUGUCUCAGAAGGACAAAGAGACAUUUAAAGAGUACGCGCAAAGAUGGAGGGAGUUGGCUGCCCAGAUCACUCCUCCUUUGGAGGAGAAAGAAAUGACAAAAAUCUUCUUGAAAACUCUAAGUUCAUUUUAUUAUGAACGCAUGAUCGCUAGUGCCCCUAGUGAUUUUACCAAAAUGGUAAACAUGAGGAUGAAACUUGUGGAAGGAGUCCGUGAGGGACAGUUGUCAAAAGAUGAGGCGUCAACAAGCAAGAGACAUGGAAGAAACUUUGGUAAGAAGAAGGAUAGUGAGACCAACGCAGUAAUCAGUGGAAGGCAGAAGAGGCCUCAGAUCAGAAGAAAUCCACCACCCCGUCAACAUCAUCAUCAUCAAGUGUCAUCAGUAAUUCCGGUAUUUUCUAAUCAACAAGCAACACCAAUUCAACAACAACAACAAUAUCAACGUCAACAACAACAACCGCAAUAAAGAACGAACCCCUACAACAAGAACAAUACCAACAACAAUCAUCAUUAGCAGAAUUUCGAGAGGAAGAAGGUCUCUUUUGACCCAAUUCCUAUGUCAUAUGCAGAGUUGUAUCCUUCGCUAGUUCUCAAGAACUUAAUUCAACCAAGAAACCCACCGCAGAUCCCAAAACCACUUCCCUGGUGGUAUAAACCUGAGCUCCGUUGUGCUUUUCAUCAAGGAGCACCCGGACACGAUAUUGAAAAUUGCUAUCCAUUGAAGUAUGAGGUUCAAAAGCUUAUGAAGAGUGGUAUGGUGUCCUUUGAGGACCGCGUGCCAAAUGUUAAAACAAACCCUUUGCCCGCUCAUGGGAACUCUUCGGUGACUAUGGUGGACGGUUGUCCUGGAGAAUUCAAGGUUUUUGACGUCCGGUUUAUCCGAAGAUCUUUGGUGCAGAUGCACAAGGAUAUCUGUUUGGUGAGUGACUGUGAACAUGACCAUGAUGGUUGUGUUGUGUCAUACCCCAAUUUUGUCUGGGCAUUUUAAAAAUUUCAUAAAUUCGAUUUUUAUUUCAAUUUGCAUCAGUUGUACAACAUAACAUGCAUUUCAUCAUUAAUAAUAUCUAAAACAUCAAUCGGAAUAAAUUCUUGAAAAUACAGACAAUUUGGUUAAAUCAUUCCUCAAGUACAUGCAAAAUCAGCGGAUAAAAAGUUUCAAAAUUAAACUUGCAGACGCCAGUAUUAUUAAUCUACGGUCCGCGUAGUUCAGCCUGGUGUGCUCGUUAUAUUUUUCGACGACUUUUUCAGCUGCAUUUUAAUUCGUCUGAGCCUUUCAACCGGUGAAAAUUUAUUUUAAAAUUAAAAGAAACGCUGUAUUUUUUCAAUAAGUAUAUUUCGUGCUGAUCAUUUUAGUGCAUCCGAUUUAAUUUUUUGAAUAAAUUUAUAUCUGACUUCUAUUUAUAAUCAAUCAUUUUAUUUUUUUGUUCAAAUUUUCAAAUUAAACGAUUAGAGAUUUUUUUAUUUAUCUAAUUUAAAAUAUUGAUUAGAAAUUUAUAAUAACCAUAUUUUAUUUAAUAAUAAAUAAUAAUGAUUGUUUUCAAAAAAUAAAAUAAAGUUUAUACAUUGGAUUCCUUGUGAAAUUGCCAGCUGGUGCCACCAAUUACUCCAACGGAUCUCUCACUAAAAACAAAAAAAAAUACAAAAAGAGGAAGCUAACAAAUAGGUGACUCUCGAUCGACUGCUCUAGCUCUCUCUGAAAAGAAAAAUAAAGAAAAGAGGAUGGUUCCUCUUCUUUCUCAAUACCUCUCUCUCACUUUCUUACUAUCUGAAAAAAAAACAAAAAUAAAAAAGGAUUAAAGAUGAACCACUGUUCAUCUUCCUAACAACAACCCGUAACCACCGCGAAACCCAUCAUGAAACCUCCGUUUCCUCCUUUUCACACCUCCUUCGCUCCGCCGCAUCAACCUUCUUCAAACACACACAUUACCGGCGAACCGACCCCUCUCCGAACACAACAACCAUAACUCCAUAAAUUUUCGUCGCCGCCGCGAAAAACUUCUGCAACAAAAUAUCAACCGCGCAUCACCGACUCCUUCUGCCGUGAUUCACAACCGAUGACUCCUUUUUCUCCACAUCCUCCGUCUACGCGCAUAUCCAACACCUUGCAUCCACUACAAUCCCACACGGCCAAGAUAUCGUACCACCAUCUCCGAACUCAAUCUCCAAGGUGGUUUUCUUUUUAACUUUAAAAUUUGAGUUGUUUUGUGAUUUGUUUUGUUUAUGUUUUAAUUAUUCUUCUUUGAUUUGGAAUUGGAGAGAGAUUGGAUGAAACAAAGUAUGGAUUUUGUUUUAUUUCAAAUGAUCAUUGUUGUUGUUGAUUGCUGUUGAGAGAAAGGAGAGUGUGAGUUUUUUUAUCUUUUUUUUUCCGUUUGAAAUAAAAAGAAGAAGCUUUGUUCUUCUUUAUUUUUCUGAAAGAAAGAUCUGUUGCAUUGGUGGUUUCAUUUUAAAGAUGAUGUUGUUUCUCAUUUAUUAGUUUUAUUUGUGAAAUUUUAAAAUAGUUGAAAAAAUCUACUAGAUUUCAUUUUACUGUUUUUUAUAAAUAAGAGGAGCAUAUACGGUUUUCUUGAAGGAGGAGAAAUGUGUGGAAAUAGAGUUUGUUCAUUUUAGAUCUAGGUUUCUUUCUUUAAUAAUGGACAAUAAUAUUAUUUAGUAAUGUUUGAAAAGGUCAUAAUCAUGUUAUUUACUGUUUUUGAAGAGAGAUGGAAACAUGGGAGAGAGCUUUGUGGGGAAGAAACUUUUCUUUAAUUUCAUGUUUAGAAGGGUGAUUUGAGUGAAAUAGAGGAUGUUGGUUUCUUAGAUUUUUGUUUCUUUCUCUAAAUUGCCAAGUGAUAAUUUGGAUAUGGCUAAUGUUUUUUUUGAGAAAAGUAAUGCUAGGCCUUAGGGGCGUCGCCCCAAUUGUAUAUAUUAAAUUCUUGCUCAUUUAUUUUAUUUAUCUAUUUAUUUAUUUUACUCAUUAAGGUUUAAUUUUAAAUUAUGGUUAGUGUUAAUUAUUGGGUUGGAUUCAAUUUAUUUUUUACACCCCAUGGUCAUGUAUACACUCUUACUAUUUCUUUGUACUAUUUUCUUCUUGAUUCGACUAAUAGUAAAUUAAUUGAUUAGUUUUUUAAUUGAUUUGCUGAUUACGAUACUUAUUAAUUAUUUUAUUUUUCUUUGCAAAAGUAGGUUAUUGUGAUUAUUUUACUUAGUCGAUUUCAAUGUGUUAAUCUUUUAAUUAGAUAAUCUUUAUCCAUAUCAUAAGAUUGCACAUGUAAA
RNAcentral lists this long non-coding RNA (42920 nucleotides) under Lathyrus oleraceus (garden pea). RNAcentral's name for it is "Pisum sativum (pea) long non-coding RNA (PSAT_LNC037979)". Lineage: Eukaryota; Viridiplantae; Streptophyta; Magnoliopsida; Fabales; Fabaceae. The record is from RNAcentral.